This 203-nucleotide ribosomal RNA is filed under the name uncultured bacterium. RNAcentral's name for it is "partial 16S ribosomal RNA". It matches the Rfam family "Bacterial small subunit ribosomal RNA", at positions 521 to 723 of the family's 1533-position model. The record is from RNAcentral.
UAAUACGAAGGGGGCUAGCGUUGCUCGGAAUUACUGGGCGUAAAGCGCACGUAGGCGGUUUCUUAAGUCGGGGGUGAAAUCCUGGAGCUCAACUCCAGAACUGCCUUCGAUACUGGGAAACUUGAGUUCGGGAGAGGUGAGUGGAACUGCGAGUGUAGAGGUGAAAUUCGUAGAUAUUCGCAAGAACACCAGUGGCGAAGGCG